UGAUCAAAACAGCAAGUUCAAUUUGUAACUUUAUUCGAAGAGAGAGGAUUAUUAAACUGUUUGAUGAAAGAGUUUAAUUGCUCAAACUAAAAGUUCAGACGUCUGUUUUAUAAAAGUGCUAUAGUUGGUACAACCUUUGUUCCUUUUCAACACAAGAGAGCUCCAUCAUCUUCUAUAUCUAUCUAUUUAUUAAUUCUCAAUAUAUAUACUUAUGUGACACAACCUCUUAUGUGACACAACCUUAUUUUUUUUAGGACUUUUUUUUUCUUUUAUGUAGGUCUGUCUGUUCUUUCUUUCUUCAUCUUUCUUGAGCUGUUUUUUUCUUUCUCUUAGGAGUUGUAUUUACUCUAUUUUUUCUAAUGGCCUCUUUAUCUUACUUGAUAGUUUUUUUCUUCUCUUAAGGGUGCGUUUGGUUCGCGCUAUCUUUUAAAGAUUCCUAGCAAUUCAAUGGGAAUAAAAAAAUAUGACGGUGUUUGGUUAAACGCACUAAGUAAUCUAGUUGGUAAUAUUGGAUUCACUUGGGAAUAAGAUUCACUCCAAAGUACUAAUCUCAUUCCCUUGAGGGAGGGUGGGUAUCCUCAUAUUAAUGGAUUGGGAUAAUCAUAAUAUGUCUAAUCCCUUUCUUUCUUCCUAUCCGCCGGCUAAUUGAUAUUAUUUUUCUUUACACUCUAACCUUAUAUCUCUCUCUAAACUUAUUUUUCUCCCUAAAAUUCAACUUUUUUUUCUCUCUCUAAACUAAGCUUUCUCUCUCUCUCUCUUUCUAAAAUUUCAACUCUCUCACUCCCUCUAAUUUCGACUAUAUUUUUCUUUCUAUUUUUUUAAUUAUGCUCUCUCUCUCUAACUUAUACUCUCUCUCCCUUUUUUCUAAAAAGAUGUUGAAACUUUUGGUAACAUUAUCUAAAAUUAAUUAAAUAAAUAAAUAAAUUAAUUGUAUAUUUUUUGUAAUAUUAAAUAACAUGGCUAAUUAAUAUUACUGUGUGAACCAAACACAGGAAUUCCACAUUCUUAGUAAUAGGAUGAAUAGGAAUAAGAUUCUCGGAUAUCUUUUAUUUCUAGUAAUAUUUCAUAAUGCGAACCAAACGCACCCUAAGAGUUAUAUUUAUUCUAUUUUUUUUAAUGGUUCUU
RNAcentral lists this long non-coding RNA (1125 nucleotides) under Ananas comosus (pineapple). Its description in RNAcentral is "long non-coding RNA (ACOM_LNC034470)". The record is from RNAcentral. Lineage: Eukaryota; Viridiplantae; Streptophyta; Magnoliopsida; Poales; Bromeliaceae.